This 28-nucleotide small RNA is filed under the name Bombyx mori (domestic silkworm). RNAcentral describes it as "piRNA piR-bmo-1643153". The record is from RNAcentral. Lineage: Eukaryota; Metazoa; Arthropoda; Insecta; Lepidoptera; Bombycidae.
AAACUCAGUGGGCUGUGUCUGAGGGUUC